This 83-nucleotide transfer RNA is filed under the name Schistocephalus solidus. It matches the Rfam family "tRNA". Rfam says of the family: Transfer RNA (tRNA) molecules are approximately 80 nucleotides in length. Lineage: Eukaryota; Metazoa; Platyhelminthes; Cestoda; Diphyllobothriidea; Diphyllobothriidae. The record is from Rfam by way of RNAcentral.
GGCCUCGUAGCUCAGUUGGCUAGAGCGUUGGCUGUGCUAAAACCUUCCCCUUUCCGGCGUGGGUUCGAAUACUACCUAGGCCG